GAUAUGAUAGAUGAGAAAUAAACAAUAUGGGUGAAAAAUCGCAUGACCCCUCUCACGCUGCUCCGGCCUGCCAUCACAAGUCCACCACCCUAUCCCAAGAUCCAAGGUCAGCGAGAGGCCUCCGCCAGCAGCCGCAGCGCGGACUCCGCGGCCGUCGUGGGCGCGGCCGCCACGGCCAGCGCCAGCGCGGGGAUGGCACGGGCGCGCGCUCUCGGUGCACACGGCUGCGGCGCAUAAGGAGCCACCAAUCUGCUAGUGAGGGGUAGCGCCCGCGAGGGGCUCAAGGCCGGCGGCGGGGAGAAGGCAGACCCCGAGGGGCGGCACGUCCGGGUCGGCCGCGGCCGUGGCCGCCACCGCCGCUGGCGGCGCCAGGGGGAGCAGAGCUGUCGUAUUCGUGGGCAAGGGCGCCAGAGGUGGAAGAUGAAUCUGACGAGUGGAGCCCAACUGACAGCGAGAGAAGCUGCGGGACCCAGAUGUCGGAGAGGGAGAAGAGAGGAAGAGAGGAGGGACAUUGAGGACAUUUCGCAUGAGCUUGCUGACUCAGUGCCACUGUGUCAAGCCAUUGUGGCGUGCCACGUUAGCUAAAGUGGUAAAAAUGUAAGAGUUGCAGCUACAGAAAUGUUAAAUUUGUAUGAGUCAUUAUAAAAGUGCUAAACGAGUGUGUGGUCUCCGUAAUAAUGGUAAAUAUGUAAAAAACCCGAGUGGAAGGGAAAGCGACACCACAGGAGGGAGCUUCUCGAGCCGUGAGCCGGUGACGCUGACGAGCGCAGCAGUGAGCCAGCUCCAGUGCUCGGCUCCGUUCGGCUCGUUAGAGAUAGCGGCUCGGCUCGGCUGCGAGCUCACAGUGGUUCGGCUCGAGAGCUGGCUAGCUUCAAGCCGUCCGAUUCACAAGCACUGGUCCCCACGUCGGCUACGGCUUCGUUCUUCAGAAUCCAGAAACCGGCGGCGGCGGCGGAGGAGGAGGAGAGCGUCGACGGGGAAAUUGAGGCGGCGGAGGAGUGGAAGCGAGCGACUGAGGUAAUGUCCCUCCGCUCCCUCGGUUCCCUCCUCACCCGGAGGUUCUCGCCCCGCGCGCAGGCGCAGGCGAGGUUCUCGGCCUCGCCGGGAUCAUCAGCUGGGCCCAUCGCCAUCGGAGAGGCCAGCGCUAUCUCUCCGCACCCUUGCCCAUCUCCGUUGGUGCCGCGGGUGCGUUGGCUGGAUUGGUUGGAGUUCUGUACUUCAGGAAAGAUGCAGAUUAGUGGGCCAGUCGGCUGGCAAGGAGGCCAAGAAAGAGGUGCCUGAAAGGGAGGUCGUUAAGGAGGUGCUGGGUGGGUGCCUCUUUAAAAGAGGUGUCCGUUAAGGAGGUGAUGAGUGACAGGGAAGCUGCGAGGCAGGAAGAUGAAGGCCAGGUUUCAGGACUGGAUGGUGGAGCACGGUCGGUCAUACUACAGGACAUUGCCGCCUCGCCGCUUCCGCCCGCCAUUUCGCAGCUCGGUGUUCCGGUGUGGUGGGAGAGGGAGAUUCUCGAGCGACACCAUAGGAGGAGAAGACGGAGCUUCUCGAGCCGUGAGCCCGAGCGCCGCCGCAGCAAGCCAGCUCCAGUGCUUGGCUCGGUCCGGCUCGUUGGAGAUAGCGGCUCAGCUCGGCUGCGAGCUCACGAUGGUUCGGCUUAAGAGCUGGCUAGUUUCAAGCCGUCCGAUUCCCACGUCGGCCGCGGCUUCGUUCAGAAUUCAGAAACCGGCUGCGACGGAGGAGGAGAGCGUCGAUGGGGAAAUCGAGGCGGCGGAGGAGUGGAGCGAGAGACCGAGAUAGUGUCCGUCCGGUCCCUCGGUUCCCUUCGCACCCUGAGGUUCUCGCCCCGCGCGCAGGCGCAGGCGGUGUCACGACCCCAAAAAUUCUAGCUCUGCCCGGAUAGUCCGGUUUCCUGCCCGGACAGUCUGCCAGUUCCCCUGUUUUGGCGUGCUGCGUGUCGAGCGAGGUCUUCGCCGCGCGCCGGGCAUCCUCGAUAAGCGCGUGCCGGGGGAAGCCGCAGCCAAUAGCCAAGCACCACCACGCCGCGCCGCUUAACUCUCUUACGUCGUCAAUUUGUCCACGACUCCAUCCCUUGAGCUGCGCUAUCUCUCGUUCUCUCUCGCUCAGCUCCACCUCCAACCGCAAGAACACCAUCCAUCGAUCCAAAAAUCCAUGAGCUCCACCCCAUGGUGUCCAAAUCCACCACACCCAGGGACUCUCCACCUCCCUAGCCCCCUCCACGGCCCCUCAAACUCGAGCUCCGACCACCAUCUCGCCGGGAAUCGCAGAUCUCGCAGCUGCCAGUUCAAGUUCCGCCCGGACUCGACCUCACCGUGGAACUUCAUCGUACGGGCACCGUUUUCACCACCCAACGGCUCAAAUCGACUUGACUGAAUCGUCGGAGAACGAACCCGUGGAGCCCACCGAGUCCGUUGAGCGCGAGCCUGGAGUCCAGUUCGUGGUUGAGCCUGAAGCUAAUCAAGACAAGCAGCUAAGCAUAAUUUCUUGCACCUAUCUAAUUUGACUAGCUUAGUUAUCUCACUUGGAUAAUGUUGGGUUAUAUAUAUAUUAUGUAUGUAUUGCAUUCUUGUACCUACUUUGAUGCACUAUUCUUCCUUGAAUUGUUCAACCAUAUCCUUGCCACAUGUUAGUCAGAUAAUCACUUAACUUGGCUAGAUGCUGAUCUAUGCUUAGAAUAAUCUUUUCGCUUACUAAAAAGGAUAGUUUGGAGUAUGACACUUACCGGUUACCCUUGAUUGCACUAGUUGGGUUUGGUUGUUAGUGAAGUGGUAGUACCGAGAUUCGAGCGGAAUGGUAGGACCUAGAGAAUGAAGUCACAUGGGCAUAGUCUGUUUGGAUCGAUUAAGGACCGAGUGGAUGCCAUCGGCCUUGAGCACCUUUCCGUGCUACCACAUAUC
Long non-coding RNA from Panicum virgatum (switchgrass), 2909 nucleotides. RefSeq lists it as uncharacterized. The transcript is spliced from 3 exons. NCBI's taxonomy places the organism in Eukaryota, Viridiplantae, Streptophyta, Magnoliopsida, Poales, Poaceae. The record is from RefSeq and is a predicted model, not a curated record.